UACAGAGGAUGCAAGCGUUAUCCGGAAUGAUUGGGCGUAAAGCGUCUGUAGGUGGCUUUUUAAGUCCGCCGUCAAAUCCCAGGGCUCAACUCUGGACAGGCGGUGGAAACUACCAAGCUGGAGUACGGUAGGGGCAGAGGGAAUUUCCGGUGGAGCGGUGAAAUGCGCAGAUAUCUGGAGGAACACCGGUGGCGAAGGCGGCAUCCUGGACCGACACUGACACUGAGGAGCGAAAGCCAGGGGAGCAAACGGG
RNAcentral lists this ribosomal RNA (253 nucleotides) under uncultured bacterium. RNAcentral's name for it is "partial 16S ribosomal RNA". It matches the Rfam family "Bacterial small subunit ribosomal RNA", at positions 524 to 776 of the family's 1533-position model. The record is from RNAcentral.